AUUCUGGAACCUGUAUUUUUCCAGUUCUCCAAGGACUCUCGCUCUGAAAUGAGAAAACAGAUGCUCCUUGCAGCUGGUUUCACCUAUUAGCUCUGUAAUCCAUCCUAGAAGAGAGCUUUGCUUCGGUAAUAGCAAUGUGUUCAGUCUGGGUAGAUGUGCAGGAUGCCCGCCUGACAGCAUUAAAUCGCAGAGAUAUCCUUCUGGGUGGUAAUGGAAUUUUACCUUAUUUGCUCCUUCCCAGGCCUGCAUGGGAAGGAAGGAGGAGUGUUAAAAGCAAGCUCAACAGGUUUAUGGACACCAUACAUUUAUCGGUGCCUCAAUUUCCUUAGCAGGUAAAUGAUAAACAUACUUCCCCAAUUUAAUUCACUGGACUGUUAGGAAGGAUCAUGGUA
Molecule: long non-coding RNA, 392 nt
Filed under: Fukomys damarensis (Damara mole-rat)
Lineage: Eukaryota; Metazoa; Chordata; Mammalia; Rodentia; Bathyergidae
Description: lncRNA (ENSFDAG00000025286.1)
Source: RNAcentral